GACGAACGCUGGCGGCGUGCCUAACACAUGCAAGUCGAGCGAAAAGACCAGGCUUUUGUUCGUCUGUCGUUAGCGGCGGAGGGGAGAGAAACACGUGGAUCCUCUACCUAUCUGACUGGGAUAAUCACGGGACACGGGCGCUUAUAGCGGAGAAUCUCUUGAACCGCGGGGUUCGAUGGUGAGAGUCGGUUGUUGUGUAUGUAAUAGCUGCAUACGGGCCGCAUUGGCUGGUUGGUAGGGUAACGGGUUAUCACGGCGACGAUGCGUAGCCGAACGGAGGGGGUGAUCGGCCACACUGGAACUGAGACAGGGUCCAGACUCCUACGGGAGGCAGCAGUAGGGAAUGUGACGCAAUGGGCGAAAGCUUUACGGAGCAACGCCGCGCGAGUGAUGAAGGUCUUCGGAUCGUAAAACUCUGUUAUUGGGGAAGAACAGAUGUGGAAUUAAAUAUGCCCGUCUUGACGGUACCUGAUCAGAAAGCCACGGCUAACUACGUG
This 497-nucleotide ribosomal RNA is filed under the name uncultured bacterium. Its description in RNAcentral is "partial 16S ribosomal RNA". It matches the Rfam family "Bacterial small subunit ribosomal RNA", at positions 28 to 507 of the family's 1533-position model. The record is from RNAcentral.